GGAAAAUCUUUAUUCGCUUCCAAACCAUGCCUCAAAAUUUCUAUCUACAGCGGAAGGAGAGGUACGACCUGCGGCAUCGACUCUGGGAGGCUCUUGGGGAAAGUGUCUCUACCUUUGGAUAUGGCGGGAACUGAUUCUAGGGCAACAGUGUUCCACAAUGGAUGGAUUUCAGUGGGGAAAGACUCCAAGGUUUCUUGUGCGCAAUUCCAUUUGAAUGUGAGAGCGGAACCCGACCCGAGAUUCGUGUUUCAGUUCGACGGCGAGCCCGAAUGUAGUCCACAAGUGUUUCAGAUUCAGGGAAACAUCAG
RNAcentral lists this unclassified non-coding RNA (308 nucleotides) under Hevea brasiliensis (rubber tree). The record is from RNAcentral. Lineage: Eukaryota; Viridiplantae; Streptophyta; Magnoliopsida; Malpighiales; Euphorbiaceae.